RNAcentral lists this long non-coding RNA (813 nucleotides) under Hordeum vulgare. Its description in RNAcentral is "long non-coding RNA (HVUL_LNC013204)". Lineage: Eukaryota; Viridiplantae; Streptophyta; Magnoliopsida; Poales; Poaceae. The record is from RNAcentral.
UACUAUCUUAUCUAGAUACUAUGUGUAAAGAGAUGAUUAUUGGGAUCUGUAUUACUUUAUAUUUUGGCUUAAAGUUUUCCUUUAUUUAAUCCAGCUAGGCAUUGUAUUGAAUAUUGGCCCUUCAAAUACUAUUUAUAUUAUACAGCUGUGACGUGUCUUAGUUCUUUGGGUCAAUUGCCGCAUUGGGGAGGGCCAGAGGGCGUAGGAAAGGCUGAAGAGAAGAGAUCUUAGGAGAAAGAUGACACUAUGCACUGGCUGACUAGGUGGAGAUCUUCAUGCCUAAUGCCAACGAUCACAAUAGCCCUUCAUAGAUAGAGGCUCUCCUAAUUAUAGACAGGUCAGUCUAUUAAUAACAAUCCUAACAUAUGAACUAGUGAGAUAAGAUACCAGCUAAUACAAAGAGUUGAUGAGCAAGUUGUUGUUGCCGCUAGCUCGAGCAGGUGAGGUGUUAUGGUCGGACUCCAGUAUGCACCGAAGAGGCCCAAUAGUGGGACGCAUUAGGGGCUUAGCCCAAGUUAUCUAGGGUUUAGUGGAGGAUGUCCUUCUAUAUAAACACAUGUACCCCUUCGAUAUUAAUCAGACAAUAAACAUUAUUCUGUUGUCGUCUCCCUCAGGAGACGGGAGCCCAAACCCUAGCCGCCCUGCCUUAGCCGCCUCUCUCUCUCUCUUUCUCUCAGCGACGGCGCCCAACCGACGGCGCCUGCGUCCCCAGCCACGCUGGCCGCACUUCCACCAACCGCCGGCGCCUGCGUCCCCAGCCACGCUGGCCGCACUUCCACCCCUACAACCUACGUUCGAGACCUGGUAGAACCC